RNAcentral lists this ribosomal RNA (613 nucleotides) under uncultured bacterium. RNAcentral describes it as "partial 16S ribosomal RNA". The stretch from base 1 to 521 matches the Rfam family "Bacterial small subunit ribosomal RNA", at positions 338 to 873 of the family's 1533-position model. The record is from RNAcentral.
CCUACGGGAGGUAGCAGUGGGGAAGUAUUGGACAAUGGGCGGAAAGCCUGAUCCAGCAAUGCCGCGUGAGUGAUGAAGGCCUUAGGGUCGUAAAGCUCUUUUACCCGGGUAUGAUAAUGACAGUACCGGGAGAAUAAGCCCCGGCUAACUCCGUGCCAGCAGCCGCGGUAAUACGGAGGGGGCUAGCGUUGUUCGGAAUUACUGGGCGUAAAGCGUGCGUAGGCGGUUAUUCAAGUCAGAGGUGAAAGCCCGGGGUCUCAACCCCGGAACGGCCUUUGAAACUAGGUAGCUAGAAUCUUGGAGAGGUCAGUGGAAUUCCGAGUGUAGAGGUGAAAUUCGUAGAUAUUCGGAAGAACACCAGUGGCGAAGGCGACUGACUGGACAAGUAUUGACGCUGAGGCACGAAAGCGUGGGGAGCAAACAGGAUUAGAUACCCUGGUAGUCCACGCCGUAAACGAUGAUAACCUAGCUGUUCGGGUACUUGGUAUCUGUAGUGNGCGNGCUACGACAUAGUUAUCGUCCGUCGGUAGGUACGGUCGGUCGAGAUUAAACUUAAACGUAAAGUUAGUACGGCGUGAGACGUACGCGACGGACGACGACGACGGGAGGUAGG